This 520-nucleotide ribosomal RNA is filed under the name uncultured Glomus. RNAcentral's name for it is "SSU rRNA". It matches the Rfam family "Eukaryotic small subunit ribosomal RNA", at positions 569 to 1090 of the family's 1831-position model. Lineage: Eukaryota; Fungi; Glomeromycota; Glomeromycetes; Glomerales; Glomeraceae. The record is from RNAcentral.
AGCAGCCGCGGUAAUUCCAGCUCCAAUAGCGUAUAUUAAAGUUGUUGCAGUUAAAAAGCUCGUAGUUGAAUUUCGGGGUUAGUAGGUUGGUCAUGCCUCUGGUAUGUACUGGUCUCACUGAUUCCUCCUUCCUGAUGAGCCGUAAUGCCAUUAAUUUGGUGUUGCGGGGAAUUUGGACUGUUACUUUGAAAAAUUAGAGUGUUUAAAGCAAGCUAACGCUUGAAUACAUUAGCAUGGAAUAAUGAAAUAGGACGUUCGAUCCUAUUUUGUUGGUUUCUAGGAUUGACGUAAUGAUUAAUAGGGAUAGUUGGGGGCAUUAGUAUUCAAUUGUCAGAGGUGAAAUUCUUGGAUUUAUUGAAGACUAACUACUGCGAAAGCAUUUGCCAAGGAUGUUUUCAUUAAUCAAGAACGAAAGUUAGGGGAUCGAAGACGAUCAGAUACCGUCGUAGUCUUAACCAUAAACUAUAGCCGACUAGGGAUCGGAUGAUGUUAAUUUUUAAUGUACUCAUUCGGCGCCUUA